AGAGAGAGAGAGAGAGAGAGAGAGAAAAGAAUGGCAGAAGAGAGAGAGAAAGAAAGAAAGAACGUCAGAAGAGAGAAGAAGAAUAAGAAGAAGAAGCUGCUGCUGCUGUUGCUCUCCGAUCAUGAGCAAGAGAGCCAUUGGGGAGGGGGAUAAGGAGGGGUGUUUUGGUCAAAAAACAGGUGUAUUAGGUCGGAUAAAUUAUGGAGAGCUCAAGGGGUGGCAAUAAUUUAACACCUCUCCCGCGGAUUGAGUUGUAUUCGCUAAGAAGGGGGACUGAACAAUAUAAGUGAAAAUGGGAUUGCCAAACCCAGCUAAAACUGUCCAUCACCCCUAAACCGGGUGUAUUCCACAAUACACCAACCCAAAGCUGCAUCCAAUCGGCCUAGUUUCCUCAAGUGUACGUAUGCCCAGGUUCGAGUCCCGUCCGUGUCCAGCAUUGAUUUUUCUUUUUUCCAGUCUAUUCCUUUUAAAUCUCUCUCUCUCUCUCUCUCUCUCUCUCUCUCUCUCUCUUCCUUCGUUCACUGCACCCACUAUUCUCUCUGCUUUUUAUUAUAUAUAUUUAUGAUUUGUUAAGAAGAGAAGGGUCAUUUGUUGUUGGUGUACAUUUUUUAUUUUGGAAUAUACUUCUUCUACAUCAACAAUUAUGGUGUAUUCCACUUACUAAAAUAAGUAUUUAUUUUUUAAAUUAAAGGUGAUAUAUUGUGAGAGAAUGACAUGUCUCAUAAAACAGAAAGUAAGUACUUAAAAAAUAAGAACCUUAACGGAACGUGGCAAACUCCUCCAAAAAAAAAGAAAA
Molecule: long non-coding RNA, 796 nt
Organism: Rhododendron vialii
Lineage: Eukaryota; Viridiplantae; Streptophyta; Magnoliopsida; Ericales; Ericaceae
Exons: 2
Source: RefSeq, a predicted model, not a curated record